GAUGAACGCUGGCGGCGUGCCUAAUACAUGCAAGUCGAGCGAACAGACGAGGAGCUUGCUCCUCUGACGUUAGCGGCGGACGGGUGAGUAACACGUGGAUAACCUACCUAUAAGACUGGGAUAACUUCGGGAAACCGGAGCUAAUACCGGAUAAUAUAUUGAACCGCAUGGUUCAAUAGUGAAAGACGGUUUUGCUGUCACUUAUAGAUGGAUCCGCGCCGCAUUAGCUAGUUGGUACGGUAACGGCUUACCAAGGCAACGAUGCGUAGCCGACCUGAGAGGGUGAUCGGCGACACUGGAACUGAGACACGGUCCAGACUCCUACGGGAGGCAGCAGUAGGGAAUCUUCCGCAAUGGGCGGAAGCCUGACGGAGCAACGCCGCGUGAGUGAUGAAGGUCUUCGGAUCGUAAAACUCUGUUAUUAGUGAAGAACAAAUGUGUAAGUAACUAUGCACGUCUUGACGGUACCUAAUCAGAAAGCCACGGCUAACUACGUG
This 497-nucleotide ribosomal RNA is filed under the name uncultured bacterium. RNAcentral's name for it is "partial 16S ribosomal RNA". It matches the Rfam family "Bacterial small subunit ribosomal RNA", at positions 28 to 507 of the family's 1533-position model. The record is from RNAcentral.